ACUGUUAAAAAUGGGUAGUUACAAUAGCACCCAAAGUGCUAUGCCAACACUCACCUAAUGGUGCUAUCACAACACUAAGAGUGCAGUCGUAACUGCUACGUGUUACUAGAACAAUAAAGGGUGCUAUUAUACACUUAUAAGUGCUUGUGGAACACUUUAAACAGUGUUGUGCAUGCACUUACCUAGUUGUUAAAAUCAUAUUACUCUAACUAUACACCAGAUGGUGUUACUCAAAUAAGAAUUGUGUAAUUGUAGCACUAUACAUGGUGCAAUGUAAACACCUCUAUAAAUCACCUGCAUUCAAAUCAAGGCCAGUCUAUAAUGAUUCAUGUAGUUGCAUGUGUAAAUAAAUAGUUGCUUAUAUACAAACCCGUUCCAUUAAAUAGUUGAAUCUGGUAUAAUUAUUAUACCUUUGUAUUCAAGCAUGCAGGAGCAGAUUAUAAUUAUAGUCACCUUAUUUAUUAUACUUAUUAUAAAUUCUAAUCACAUGCGUAAUUAUGUAUACAGGGGUGAAGCAGCACACUUGUACUGAUGACGGAACAAUCGGCCCUGUGAGGAACUUUCCAAGAAAAAAUUAUUGCACUUUUCAAGUGUAUACCGGCAAUAUUUUAGCUAUUCAGUAUAUAACUUAUGUGAUGAACCAGUUAUCAUUAUUAGUUACUGUAACUAUGUGUUUGAAGUUGCAACAUCUAUUGAGGACUAGACUAUGUGCAUGUCACGCUAACGGACAAAUUAAUGCCCAACAAUAAUUAUUAACAAUUCAAUCGUCUGAAAAAUCAUACAUCCUGUAUUUAGCAAAGUAGCUGGCUUAUAGUGUGUUCUUUCUACUCGUACAGUUGCCCUGCAAAUUUAACUCUUACUUUGCUCCCACCCUUCCCCUCUUCUAUGCAAGGGCAUACACUGAUGGUAUGAUCAUAACUAAUUGAUGAGCACAGACUCAAAUGCGUGGUGGGUAGCCAAGACUACAUAAACAAAACAAAAUCGUGGGUGGUAGAUCUAAUACAUGCAGCACUGAUCUCACGUGAACCUUGUGAAGACAGCUGCCUGCAUGAGAGUCUUCUCUGCACAAGUACACAGCUGCGUGCACCUUAACUGUAUGAAGGCGCCGGGCCUACUCUAGCUCUGUACUGUGCUCUGGUACUACAUGGACUAAGUUGCUAGAUGUACUGCACUGCAAGAUGGCACACUGCUUUGACUCGGAACUAUAGAGGUUCAUGGAGUCGAGCUAUUUAAACAAGGUUAAAGAAUGCGUCGCAAAUUGAGAUUCAACAUCUGUCCAAAGAUAAACCACUGCUCUUUAAAAGGAAUAGUCCAAAAACAAAGCGUAACAAAGGUGCUAUCAGGAGUGUUAUGAUCGACCAGCAGUUACAGAUGUGCGUAUAUACUUACCUUCUAUCCACCACUGAUCGAUUAUGUCUAUGAAAAGAUACCUAUAGAUUUACUUUUGAGGAAAAUUGGAAAGAAUUCGAACAAAGGAGAACAAUGUUAAGCUACAGGAGCUGGUCGAAGACUAUGCAAUGCAGUCACUGGUGCAGUCACAAUCUAAUGGUAAAUAGAAACCCAUAUCUUCAAACAUACAUUUUUUUUUAUUCAGUUCUGAAGAUGAUACUGUAAGAAGAAGGAUGCAGUACAAAUGAUAUUUGUCAAGCUGCUGCUCCACGUGGAUGACAUGCAACGUUCGUUCAAGGUAGAAAAAGUGCUAUUGAAUCUGGAUCAAUGAACUACUUCGUCAUCGUAGAGAAAGAAGUGUAUGAAGUAGAUUCAUUCUAUGAAACUCUUGUACUAUGUUUUUGACAUUUUAGUACCCACGUGCAUGUCUGCAUGGCACCCUUUUAUUUUUUAUUUUUAAGGUCCCGAACUGCCUAAGUGUAUUGUGGUCGUAGUUAUUAAACACUUUAUGAGGUUAGGUAUACAUAUCUUCAUACUUUUAUUGUAUGCUAUCGUGAUGCAUAUCAUUAUACACAUGCUAUAAUUAUGUUACGUCAUUUAAGUCAAGUGCAUGAGCUUAUCGAGAAGUGCAAUAAGCAUGCAUGCAAUAUUUUAUGCUUUGCAUGAAGAGUAGCAAUGACAACUGUACCUGUAGUAACAGCAGCACCCAUCCCCAGUGCUUUAAUAACACCAUUGUAGGUGUAGUUGUAA
This is a long non-coding RNA of Halichondria panicea, 2139 nucleotides long. RefSeq lists it as uncharacterized. The transcript is spliced from 4 exons. The record is from RefSeq and is a predicted model, not a curated record. Lineage: Eukaryota; Metazoa; Porifera; Demospongiae; Suberitida; Halichondriidae.